GGGAUUACAGGCGUGAGCAUGACUUGUGGACUCCCCCCAUUUAGCCCUCACUGUAACCCCCAUGUUAUGGAUUGAAUGUUAGAGUCCCCUGAAGAUUCAUAUGAUGAAAACUAAUACCCAACGUGAGAAUAUUAAGAGGUAGCGUGUCUGUUGAGCAGUCUAGGGAUGGAUGGAUGGAUGGACAGAUGGAGAUAUAACGAUAGAUAGAUAGAUAGAUAGAUAGAUAGAUAGAUAGAUAGACAAUAGAUAGUAAAUAGGUAGGACUUUUGGGACAUGAUCACAUCAUGAGGGCUUCAUCCUUGUGAAUGGGAUUCAUGCCCUUAUUUUAUUUAUUUUUUAUUUAUUUUUUUUUUGAGAUGGAGUUUUGCUCUUGUGUUCACUAGGCAAAUGCAGGAAGAAAGAACAACAUUUUAUUAAUAUGUGGAGCCAAUGGCCUGUGCAAAAGUCCUGUAGUGGGGUGGAGGAAGGAAGGGCUGAAGGAACUGGGUGAUGAGCUGGACCUGGAAUGCAGACUAACUGGGGAGGGUGGAGGGUACGAGGUAGACAGGGACCACCCCAUCAGGAAACUUCUAGUUGUUUUUUUUUUUUUUUUUUGAGACAGGAUCUCACUCUAUCGCCCAGGUUGGAGUGCAGUGGUGCAAUCUUGGCUCACUGCAACCUCCACCUCCCGGGUUCAAGCGAUUCUCCUGACUCAAGCCUCCUGAGCAGCUGGGAUUACAGACAUGUGCCACCACACCCAGCUAACUUUUAUGGAUUGGGGACCCAGUUAGCAAUCACCUGUGAGAGAGACCAGGACUGGAGCGGCUUGGACCAGGAUACUCCUAUCAUCGACCUCCUCCCACAGCAAGGAAGAAGCAGAGUUGAGUAACGGACAUUUACGUUGCUCUGAUUCUCUGCCAUCCCAAGCAGCACCAUGAGGAACAGCGCUAUGCAGGACCUUCUGCGGAUGCACCUGUGCCAGUCUGUCUGGCUGGGGCCUGCACACUCCGAGAAAGGACUGUGCACUCUGAGGAAGGACUGCGCAGUCUGAGGAAGGGCUGAGCACUCUUGUGGAAGUACCGCCCACUCUGAGGAAGGACCGUGCACUCUGAGGAAGGACUGCGCAGUCUGAGGAAAGGCUGCGCACUCUCGUGGAAGUACCGCCCACUCUGAGGAAGGACUGCUAGGUUGUCUCUCUGGAAAGUUUUCUGUUGCCCAUGCGGAGAAUAUUCAAGUUUUGUUUCGGCCUUCCAGAAUUUCCCUCCUGUUUGGGGGGGAUCAUCCUCCACUCCGUUAUACAGCCUCGGAGGCAGACACCACUCGUCAUCGGAUGUCAAACCAAAGCUCCCCCAGGCUUAGCAGGUGUGGGUGCAGGAGGGUGCGGGAGUCAGAUCUCCAUCUAUCUGGUCUCGCCUUGUUUCUAGUCCUUUGCAGGGGUGUUCUUCCAGCAUCCUCCAAUCCAUCCGGGACUGUCCAUCUUGAGUGACACAAAAGAGUGGGGCAGGACAGCCUGGCCGACUGUCCCUCCGAGACCAGACACGGGGUGUGUGUGUGUGUGUGUGUGUGUGUGUGUGUGUGUUGGAGGGGUCCCCAAAGGGGCACAGAAGUCCCGGGAGGCUUUUCAGAAGAGAAGAGAUGGAGCCUGAAUGGGCAAAAGCAGCAGCUGUGCUGUUAGGAGCUGGAGUGAAUACUGUGAGCCCAGACACCUGGGAUGAGAUCCACAGAUGUGGCCCGGUCCCUUACUCUUUUGGUGCCUCAGUUUCCCCAUCUGUACCAUGGGGAUAACAACAGUGCAUGCCUCAUCGGUUGGUUAUGAUGAUAAACAAACUGGAUUUUAAAAAGGUCUGGCCCAGCAGACUCACUCUGUGUUUGCUGUUAUCAGAACCCUGUCCUCAGACCCUGGCCUGACACCACCUCAUACUCCCUCUCAUGCCUCUUAGUCACUUCCUGAAAGUCUGCAGCAGACGACACGGCUUCUCCCAGCCCGUCUUCUUCCCCACACGGUGGGCAUGGUAACGUCCUUAACAUGCACCUGUCAGUGUGAAAGCAGCAGGCUGAGAUCACACACCAAGUUCCCUAGAGUCGGGGUUUCAGCAUGUUAGCCGAGCUGGUCUUGAACUCCUGAGCUCAAGUGAUCCACCCACCCGAGCCUCCUAAAGUGUUGCGAUUACAGAGGCUACAGAUUUCCUCUCUGGAGAGAAGGAACCGGGGUUGCUCGCUGAGCUGACAAGAGGUGGCAUCCUGGAAAGAUGCAGCUGGCCAAAGCCUGCCCUCCAUACGGAGUCCCCCCCUCGGCCAAUGGCUCCAGCUAAAGGUGAGAGAAUUCCUUGCGUGGCAGAAUGGGCCACCCAAGACCUACCAACACUGACACUCAGGACCCCAGUCAAACAGAGUGGCCUUAGCAAGGGAGGUGGGUGCCAUUAUCAUCACUUGCGGAUGUGGAACUCAUGCCCAGAGGGUAUGACCAACCUGUAGGUUCCCAGCCAGGAAGCUGAAGGGCUCAGAUGCGAACCUGACUCAGUGUGGCACUCGGCAGGUCCCUUCCAGGAGCCUCAUCCCUGCCUCCGUAGGAUGGAGGUGGGGACAGCCCUCCUGAGGACACAUUUCCUGCACUGCCUCCCACAGCUGUGCCCAGACUCCCAGAGCCUCUCUCAUGCCAAGAGAGUCUGUGGUGGGAGCCAAGACAGCUGACCCCAGAAGCCCCGGGCACCCCAGACGCUCGGCCCUGGGAGGGUGGCUGUGCCGGACAGACUCCAGACAGAGCUCAGACUCCGGGUCUACACACAGUGACUUUAUUACUCUAUGGAUGCUGGUGAACUGCCCUCCCCAACCAGCUUCACGGGGGCAGGCAUCUCUGUCCAUCCCAUGCC
RNAcentral lists this long non-coding RNA (2849 nucleotides) under Homo sapiens (human). RNAcentral describes it as "HSALNT0262592". Lineage: Eukaryota; Metazoa; Chordata; Mammalia; Primates; Hominidae. The record is from RNAcentral.